GCGGCCAGCUGCCACCGCCCGGUUAUCUUAUUGAUUCUUCUAAUCACCCAAGGUGGGUGGAUACGUUAAAGAGUAACCAGUCACUUAGGGAACCCGCGGCUGGGGACUGUUGCUGUCUCCAUGGCAAUGGCGACCUGGCCAGACCUGAGGUCCACUCGGGUCCUAGUCCUGCACUCUGGGGUUAGGGGAACCCAGAGCCAGGUGUAUGGGGACAUCAGCCCCCCAAUUUGAGGACAGGGCCGGAGCAGAAGGGGCUGGAGAGUUCUGAGAGCCGAGGAAGCAGGAAGGAGCUGUGAGAGACUGAGCUCUAACCUUGGCCAUCAAAGACAAGCUGUGCAGCUCUGGUUUUUUGAGGGCAGGACAUGGAGGGUCAGGCCCAGCUGGAGGCGCACCAAAGCCCAGAGAAAAUUCAGAACCACGUGAACUUGUUGGAUUUCAGCCCCUUGAAGCACAUGUUGCUAUUGCAGCUGCCUUGAUAACUGGGGGGACAGGAGGAGCACGGCUUUCCCAUCUUGUACGGGGACUCGCCAAUCCAGUUGCCCCUGGAAGAGAAAAGGACCCAGGGAGACAGAGGAGCAUUAGGUGAGUAACCUUCACACAGAUGUCCAGAUCUCAGCGCUGCCACUGACCAGCCCUGGGGACCUGGGGCAAGUCACAUCUGCAAGCCUUGGUUUCUUUUUUUUCUUUCCUUUAUUUAUUUAUUUAUUUAUUUUGUUUUGCUCUGUCACCCAUAGCUC
RNAcentral lists this long non-coding RNA (737 nucleotides) under Homo sapiens (human). Its description in RNAcentral is "HSALNT0401192". Lineage: Eukaryota; Metazoa; Chordata; Mammalia; Primates; Hominidae. The record is from RNAcentral.